RNAcentral lists this unclassified non-coding RNA (431 nucleotides) under fungal sp. RNAcentral's name for it is "partial internal transcribed spacer region". The stretch from base 1 to 46 matches the Rfam family "Eukaryotic small subunit ribosomal RNA", at positions 1786 to 1831 of the family's 1831-position model. Lineage: Eukaryota; Fungi. The record is from RNAcentral.
AAGUCGUAACAAGGUCUCCGUAGGUGAACCUGCGGAGGGAUCAUUAACACGUUUCCAUAACGUUUAACUUUCUACACACCAAAAUGCGUGAAUUCAAUCGAAUCAACUUAUACCCGACUUGAGAGGGAGAGAACCUGUCUUUAUACACGGAGUGAUGAGUGUGCGUAUUUGUUAUGUUGGCAACAGCAUAACAUUAGGCAUGCGGUGUAUCUAGGCUUGUAAUGCUCGACAUUACGGGAUCUCUCUCAUUCAAGCUAUCAACAAUUAACCAAUGUUCCCUUCAUCGCUGGAACGAACAACACCCCUUUCACCCCUUUAUAACUAACUAGACUGAUAUUUCUUUUUGACAGUGAGGCUUGCUUUACUGUUUCAAGGAUUGAUUUUAAUCAAAUAUCUAAGCACAACUCUUAGCAACGGAUAUCUUGGUUCUC